UAGAGGGGUCAGGAGGAAAUUUGUUUAUUGGAGGGGUCUAGUUGGCACUGUUGAAGGUUGAUGGCUGGAGAGGUAUAGAAGAUACCGGAGACAAUCGAUCACUGUAGAAAUCCGACUGCUGGAGCCCAUCCAUUGUAGAAGUUCGUCUGGAAUCCAUCUGCUAUAAAAGUUCGGACGGAAUCUGGUUCUUGUAGGAGUCCGGAAGGAGGCCGCUUACUGUAGAAGCUCGGAUGGAGACUGGUUACCGUGGAAGCCCGGAUGGAGAUCGCUUAUUAUAGAAGCUCGGAUGAAGUCCACUUACCAUAAAAACUCAGAUGAAGUCCGCUUGCAAUAGAAGUUCGGAUGGAAUUCGCUUACUGUAGAAGCUCGGAUGAAAUUCGGAAGGCGAUCGACCAUUGUAGAAACUUGGAUGGAAUCCGGCUACUGUAGAAGUCCUACUACUGGAGAACCCAGACAUUGAUGAAGUUUGAAAGAAGCUCGUAGUAAAGUCGAUCGUGACAGGAGGA
This 506-nucleotide long non-coding RNA is filed under the name Elaeis guineensis (African oil palm). RNAcentral describes it as "long non-coding RNA (EGUI_LNC075057)". Lineage: Eukaryota; Viridiplantae; Streptophyta; Magnoliopsida; Arecales; Arecaceae. The record is from RNAcentral.